This 85-nucleotide transfer RNA is filed under the name Felis catus (domestic cat). It matches the Rfam family "tRNA". From Rfam's summary of the family: Transfer RNA (tRNA) molecules are approximately 80 nucleotides in length. Their secondary structure includes four short double-helical elements and three loops (D, anti-codon, and T loops). Lineage: Eukaryota; Metazoa; Chordata; Mammalia; Carnivora; Felidae. The record is from Rfam by way of RNAcentral.
GCCUGGGUGGCUUAGUUGGUUAAGCAUCUGACCUCAGCUCAGGUCAUGGUCUCACUGUUUGUGAGUUCAAAUCCUGCGCCAGGCU